GGUGCACUGAAAUGGUAGUCUGAGGCAGGAGAGGACAGUAGAAUUCCUGGUGUAGCGUGAAAUGCGUAGAAUCAGGAGGAAUACCAGUGGCGAAGGCGACUGUCUGGACUGACCCUGACGCUGAGGUGCGAAAGCGUGGUAGCAAACAGGAUUAGAUACCCUGGUAGUCCACGCCGUAAACGAUGGAUACUAGGUGUGGGAGGUAUCGACCCCUUCCGUGCCGCAGCUAACGCAAUAAGUAUCCCGCCUGGGGAGUACGGUCGCAAGGCUGAAACUCAAAGGAAUUGACGGGGGCCCGCACAAGCGGUGGAGCAUGUGGUUUAAUUCGAUGCAACGCGAAGAACCUUACCAGGUCUUGACAUCUGUAGAACCUCUAUGAAAGUAGAGGGUGCCUUCGGGAGCUACAAGACAGGUGGUGCAUGGUUGUCGUCAGCUCGUGUCGUGAGAUGUUGGGUUAAGUCCCGCAACGAGCGCAACCCUUGCUAUUAGUUGCUAACAUUUCGGAUGAGCACUCUAAUGGGACUGCCCGUGACAAGCGGGAGGAAGGUGGGGAUGACGUCAAAUCAUCAUGCCCUUUAUGAUCUGGGCUACACACGUGCUACAAUGGAUGGUACAGAGAGCAGCGAGGCCGCGAGGUGGAGCGAAUCUCAAAAAGCCAUUCUCAGUUCGGAUUGCAGUCUGCAACUCGACUGCAUGAAGUCGGAAUCGCUAGUAAUCGCGAAUCAGCAUGUCGCGGUGAAUGCGUUCCCGGGCCUUGUACACACCGCCCGU
Molecule: ribosomal RNA, 771 nt
Filed under: uncultured archaeon
Lineage: Archaea
Description: bacterial SSU rRNA
Rfam family: Bacterial small subunit ribosomal RNA
Source: RNAcentral